This 254-nucleotide ribosomal RNA is filed under the name uncultured bacterium. RNAcentral describes it as "partial 16S ribosomal RNA". It matches the Rfam family "Bacterial small subunit ribosomal RNA", at positions 524 to 776 of the family's 1533-position model. The record is from RNAcentral.
CACGUAGGGUGCGAGCGUUGUCCGGAAUUAUUGGGCGUAAAGAGCUCGUAGGCGGUGUGUCGCGUCGGCCGUGAAAACCUGUGGCUUAACUGCGGGCUUGCGGUCGAUACGGGCAUCACUGGAGUUCGGCAGGGGAGACUGGAAUUCCUGGUGUAGCGGUGAAAUGCGCAGAUAUCAGGAGGAACACCGGUGGCGAAGGCGGGUCUCUGGGCCGAUACUGACGCUGAGGAGCGAAAGCGUGGGGAGCGAACAGG